Molecule: small RNA, 763 nt
Filed under: Drosophila pseudoobscura pseudoobscura
Lineage: Eukaryota; Metazoa; Arthropoda; Insecta; Diptera; Drosophilidae
Description: GA24320
Source: RNAcentral
AAAGAAAAAAACUGUUUUUAACUUGAAGAAAACGAAAACAGAUGAAUAUUUUCAGAAAAAAGUGUUAAUAAUUAAGUUCGGCUAACGGCGCGACAUCACCCUCCCUGUGGCCACUGCCAUGGCCCUCCUCCGUGCGUCCCACGCUGUUUUCUCCGCCUUUCCAGUCUGUUCGCCGUUGGUAUCUCCUCCGUUGGUGAUUCCGCCGUAGCUCCUCGUCCUCUCGGAAGGUAAAAGGGAUGUCCUGCUGGCUGGAAUGUGGCAAACACUCCUGUUUGUCCUGCUGCGGGCCAUAGCCAUGAUGCCGCUGCUAUGUCGCUGAGUCGCCGAUGUGGCGGCCCGUCUGCUGCAGCAGGGACCUGUGAUCGCCGGCGGAAUUGUUGGUACACGCCCACGGGAAAUAAUGUCAGCAGCCCGCAAUUCAUACGCCGCCGAACCAAACGGUGGGAAUCAGCUUCGAGACGCAGGGCUUAUGUAGCCUACGCUUUGCCACAAACCGAGCCGCAUCCGAUUUCCCCCGCCAUACGGAGUCCUAUCCAUUAAUGAGGAGUAUUCGAGACAGACCGGCGCCUUACAAGCCAUACUUCGACCUGGACACCGACAACAAGGACUUUGACUAUGGCAACCAAGGGAGCGGCUGCGCGGGCUACUAGACUACACUCGUUGUUAUUAGGUUUAAGAUUGAUAAGUUUUAAGACUGCUUUCCACUUGUUUUUUUUAUUAUUCAUAUCAUUCAAUGUCCUUGCAAAGAAUCGGAGAAAUUUGA